This is a long non-coding RNA of Triticum aestivum (bread wheat), 1027 nucleotides long. RefSeq lists it as uncharacterized. The transcript is spliced from 3 exons. The record is from RefSeq and is a predicted model, not a curated record. NCBI's taxonomy places the organism in Eukaryota, Viridiplantae, Streptophyta, Magnoliopsida, Poales, Poaceae.
AAGCCCAAGGCACCAACGUGCGCGUUCACGCCAAGAUUUUUUGUUGCAUUGUACACGUACUCGCCAUAUAAGGAAGGUCACAACAGUCUCUCCCCCUCCACCCCCCUUCUCCGCUUUUGAUACAAGUGCAUUCCUUCCUGAUCAUUAAUCAUGGAUGCUACCUGACAGCUGUAAGGGUGAAGUGGGCGACAGUACAUGCCCCAAAUCUUACUUAAGUAGUGCUCUUAUUAGUGACUAGCAACAACCAUUAUUUGAAAGAAUUAGAGGAGACUGUGUCUAGGGCGGCAACAGGGAGAGCAAAAUGAAAGGACCAACAUGGCAAAUUGCAUGAGACCCAGUGGGAGGGGCGAGCCACCUUUUAUCUCCCCACCUCUUCAUAUCAUAAUCGGUCGAUCGAGGAACACCCCAUGUGCUUCUCUUCCCUCAAUCGGUCAUUUGGGCAGUUCCGGCGCUCUUCCUCUCCCAGUAGCUCCACUCCCAAGUUGAGCCCAUAAGUCUUGUCGACCGACAACUUUCUGACACAACCGGCUGCAGGUCCAUAAUCUCUCAUCAGAUUUCUACACACCUAGUUGCGGUUCUCGUUAACCACAAGCCAGGCAAAGGGCGCGUGCGAGACACUCAGGUGGCGGCGGGAAGGUGCACCGAAGCUUCCUGCGCCCGAACAAAUCUAUCUUCCCGGCCAGGCCAACCAACUUUGUCGCGCAGGAUCUAGACACCAAGGGAAUCAUCGGGAGAUCUAGUUGUUAGAAAGAUCUAUAUUCUCUUUUCUCCAUAAAUAAAGGUGGCCCCUCGAUCUGCUCCAUCAACAUGUGGCAUCGGUAACUUGGACACCUAGGGCAAGCUUCAUUAGUGGCCAUGGCAAAAAAAAGGUCUUCCUUCUUGUGAUAAACCAAUGCGGCCAUAACAUGUUUGUGGGUCUUGUCAAUUAGGGUGGCAACCUCGAUUGCCUUUUCUUAUUUGUCUUUACUAUAUCACCUUUCCAAAAUACAUUGUGAUUUGUGGACCUUGCCAAUUUAUAGUUUCUCCA